This 207-nucleotide ribosomal RNA is filed under the name uncultured bacterium. RNAcentral's name for it is "partial 16S ribosomal RNA". It matches the Rfam family "Bacterial small subunit ribosomal RNA", at positions 568 to 774 of the family's 1533-position model. The record is from RNAcentral.
AGUGUAGGCGGUUGCCUAAGUCGGAUGUGAAAGCCCCGGGCUUAACCUGGGAAUUGCAUUCGAUACUGGGUGGCUAGAGUUUGGUAGAGGUAAGUGGAAUUCCGGGUGUAGCGGUGAAAUGCGUAGAUAUAGGAAGGAACACCAGUGGCGAAGGCGGCUACCUGGACCAACACUGACACUGAGGUGCGAAAGCGUGGGGAGCAAACA